UCCUUAUAAUAGGAGAGUUUUGUAGAGCAAUGGUAAGCAUUUGCCUCUCUAUUUUCUUCUCUCGGUACAAAUCUAAAACAAAUUUUUUGAAAAAAAGCAGAGAUAACAAGGAUAUAAUGUUGAAUCUUGUGGAGCUCUUUCUGGGCGUGAAGCAUCGCAAGCCUUUCAGCCAUCAAUGGUGAUCUGACAUGAGGCGAUGAAGUGGAGUCGGAUAUCUUUAUACCCGAUCUAUGUUUGAGAAUUGCCAGCCUAAUCCCGCUUUACGAGAGAUCGCAUCCCAAGCCGCAUCCGUUUGGAGUAUCAACACAUUGGAUCAUGGGGUGGGGAUACUCUCUUUAGGGCAAAUUUGUUUUGGUUCAUGGAUCGUUCCCUGGGCUAACUGCCAUUCACGAGCUAGGUAUAUCGUAGUUGAUACGGUUUCCCCUGGAGAAUCGUGACGUUUGGAGAAGAUCUGGUGGUUAUGCUCCAUCCAGAUCUUCUAGAGAAUCUAAGGGCGAAUGGGGCCUUGUCCAGAUCCGGAAGGUGGCAAAGUGAUGGUGCCUUGGAGUGUUUCAAAACCCUCUCUAAUGGUAGUAAAAUGAUGCGGGUUCAAUGGUACUAUCAGAGGAGCGAGGUUCCAGACUUCUUUGGCGAAUCUGUAAGAGAAGAAGAGGUGUAGAGUGGACUCAAGGUUUCCACACAAAGGGCAGACCGCAUCUUUGUUCACAUUUCAUGCCCUUAAGUUUUCCCCACCGAUAAUGCUCCUCUCAUCAAUUUUUACAUAAAGAAUUUAAUCUUUGGUGAAGUUCUUGUACUCUAAAUGUAAGCAUUCCACUUGAAGCCUCUAUUCAAAUCUUGUUGUAGGGUAUCUUCUGGGUAGUGGAUGAUGCUCUCAUAGUAGCCAAAUUUUGCAGAGUAGAUACCAAAUGUCGUUUGUAGCCGGAAGAGAUAUCAGAUAUGCAACAGUGUGGGCUUCUGUAUCUUCCAAGGGAGGGCCCAUUGGUAUCAGUGGGGAGGUAAGAAAGAUCCAAGGAUCUGUCCAAAUGAGGGUAUCAUUCCCAUUACCAAUUACCUUCCCUAGCUGUGAUUUCAGGAGAACUUUGCCAAUUAGGAUUCCCCUCCAAUCUUCUUCUUUUUGGAAG
Non-coding RNA from Camelina sativa (false flax), 1121 nucleotides. NCBI's taxonomy places the organism in Eukaryota, Viridiplantae, Streptophyta, Magnoliopsida, Brassicales, Brassicaceae. The record is from RefSeq and is a predicted model, not a curated record.